GCGUCCGUUUCCUUUGGCCUCGCCCGCUCGGCUUUCAUCUAAGCACGCGGCGGGCAAGGCGCGAUGAGGUGUCGUCCUCGCGGGCGUCCCUUGAAGUGGCGAACCCCCCCCCCCCCCCC
RNAcentral lists this unclassified non-coding RNA (119 nucleotides) under Spongillida sp. ZMA POR16905. RNAcentral's name for it is "sequence contains 5.8S rRNA gene, ITS2". The record is from RNAcentral. Lineage: Eukaryota; Metazoa; Porifera; Demospongiae; Spongillida.